AUGGAUUAUGUGAUGGUUCUUUUUUUUAUGUAUGAAGAAACAUUUUAAACAUUGAAAUACAUAGUCCUUAAAAUACAUCUGAAAAAUUAUUAACAAAACACAACAAAAAACAAGAUUCACUGGUGUCAGAAGCAAUGGUGCAUUCUUAUAAUCCCAGUGAUUUGGGAGAGAAGGUGAGACAUAAAGAUUGCAAGUUCAAGAUGAGCCUGGACAACUUAGUGGGACCCUAGCAGAAAGUGAAAAAUAAAAGGGCUCUGGAAAUGGCUCAGUGUUGAGUGCCCUUCAGUUUGAUCCUCAGCAGUGAGGACUGGGGAAAGGAAAGAAGUCAGUGAAUAGGCAGCUAGAAUGUUCUGAUCUUUCAUUAAUUUAGUUAUAACAGCUAGUAAAUAUUGGUGUUCCUAAGAAAUUGUUUUGAAGGGAGAGGAAUUAAUUGCUAUCUAAUGUUCACAAUGUCAUGAAUAAUUGUCUGUUUUAAGUGGGAGCUCUAUGACCUCCUAACCAAUCUUCUAACUUUUGUAGGACCCCUCUACAUUACGCAUGUGCCUAUGACCAGGCAGAAGUGGUGGCUUUUCUAAUAAAGAAGAAAUGCAACAUUCACCUCUGUGACAGUGAGAACAACACACCUCUGAUUAAGGUCAAAAAAUGCUAUGGAAGACCUUGAUGAAUAAGAGCCAACUUUAAUAGCCUCAAUGGCCUUUCAAGUGACUUGCCCUAAUUAUAAGGAUAUUUGGGCAUACAUUGAAAAACCAAGCACUUCAUAUGAAAAUCCUCAUAGCCUACCAAAAAUCCAAAAAGCAUUUGAUUCAUGUCAAAGAAUAAUAGAACUUGACAAAAGUCACUGUUCACAGUGUUUAUUACAUAUACAAGAAGUGGAAAAAGGAGAAAAUAAACUUUGUGGAAUGAAAGAGAAAUUAUCAGAAAUGGAAAAUAUGAAAUCUAAGUUAGAGCAGAGAGAAAUAAAAUGGAAACAAGAACUCUGUCACUUGAGGUAUGAUACCCUAGAUUGAAAGAAGGUUUGAACUCUUUUCUUCACACUGAAGAUACAUAGGGAAUUUUUUAAUUGCUGACUUACCUGUUGGUAUUUUGCAAAGGAGAAAACUACUUAUACUUGUAGAAUCUGAAAUCCUUACAAAAAGGUGACAUAUUGCUAACUAUGAUUACUUCUAAUAACCAAAUUCAUGUUAUUUCCAAUCAUAAUAUCAAUGGCUAUAUGGAAAUCUCACUAUAAAAGGAAUCUCACUAUUGAUUUAAAAAGCAGAAUUGGGGAUUGUUUUUCAUUCAUAUUUUUACUUUUUGUAUUACAAUCAAUGUUUCACUGAACCUCAUUUACAAAAGUUAUUAUUUCCAUAUUUUUGUUGAGUCAUUACACUUGUUUAAAUGGUGGGAUUUUUGUUACAUAUUCAUGUUUACACACUAUGUGACUAUAUAAUUUGGUCUAUAUUAUUCCCUACCUUUUUGCUUUACCCCCUUCUCCUUUUACUUCAAUGAGCUCCUUUGAUCUCCCUGAGACCACCCCAUGCCUUUCUUUUACUUUGCCUUUCUAGUUACCACAUCGGAGAGAAAAAAUAUGAAGGUUAAACUUACAAAUAUGACUUAAUAUGCAUAAAAAAUUGUCUCAGUUUCCAUCCAUUUCCUGAAUCUGACCUAAUUUCAUAGAAAUUAAUGUUUAUUUUCCUUAGUUAGAAUACAUUUUUCAAUAUAGAAUUAUUUGGGAAAAGAAUAGUAACUUCAUGAACAGAUAUUUGAUCAAUAUUUCUAAAUUGCUCUCGGGACAGUUUAUAGUAAUUUAUAUUUUCACCAAAGAGAAUGAAAUGGCCAUUUUUUAAAAAAAUUGUUCUAAUUAAUUACACAUGACAGUAGAAUGCAUUUUGAGACAUUGUACACAAAUGGAGACAAGUUCUUCCUAUGGCUGAACGUGCCAUAUCAGUAAUGUAAUCAUACAUGUAUAUGGAGUAAGAAUAUCCAUCUGAUUCCACCGUUAUCCCAUCCCUGCAAACCCUCCCCUCUCCUCACUCCCCUCUACACAAUCUAAAGUUCUUUCAUUCUUCCUCACACACCCAUUACCCAUUAUGGAAUAACAUCCACUUAUCAGAGAAAACAUUUGGCCUUUGUUUUGGGGAGUUUGCCUUAUGAAAAAGUCAUUUUGUGCACCCCAAAAUGUGUUUUUAAAUAUUUAUGCAGUUUUUUUUUUUUCUGGUGCUUGGGAUCAAACCCAAGGGUUGGCUCAAAGUAUGCUUCUGCUGAAUUACACCCUGGGCUAUGGAUGGAAUCCUAACAUCUAUUAAACAAAAUGUGAAAUGGAAAGUAACAUUUUUAAAAAUUUCUCCCUCAUUUGUAAUAAAAUUUGUUUAAAUUUCUAUGUUGAAAGGACACGUAUUCUUUAUCAUUGGAAUAAAUAUUAGGUUAUGCCUUGUUCCAAAAGGGAUUGUGAGUUCUUUAUAAAAUAUAUAAUGGUAAACAAGCGAAAUUGAAAGUGUUACCUAAAAGAAACAUUAAAAGGGGAACAACAGGAAUUGGACCCCUUAGCCUGGUCUUCAGUUAUGGUAAUGUGCAGACAUAUGCUGUCUGAACAACUUCUGAAGGUGGUAUGUUACAAUGGCAAUCAAUUGCAGUAGUUGCUAUUUUAUUCAUAAAUAUAAAAGCUAAAUACUAAUGAAUUUAUAAACUUGUUUAUAAACAAUUAGUCUUUAAAACUCUCUUAACUAAGGAAGAGUUAUAACAAUGCAAAAAUGAUAUUUUUUUUUAUUUGUUUUGUUUUGGCAAUGUUUGGGAUGGAACACAGGGGCCCCAGCAGGCACGCACUCUGAGGAUUCCCCUCCCAAAUUAUUUCAAACACUCAAUUUAUGGAUACAUUUCAAGAGUCCCUUUCCAUAAUAUCUACUGAAGUUACUAGUUACUAGUAAGUUACUAGCCUUUUCCCAACUGACAGAAAAAUAUUUCAUUAUUAACUUUCAUGUUUAAAUGUUUCCAAAAAGAUUGAAGGAGAAAUUUAAAGAGGUGAGAACUAGAAAGAAAAAAAAUCAUAGAACAUAGAAUUUUUUAUUAGCCUAAUGAAUUAACGUAUGAAGAACAAGAACACAAAAUGCACCAUUUGUUUUCUGAUUAAAAGCAUUUUAAGA
Ictidomys tridecemlineatus (thirteen-lined ground squirrel) is the source of this 3119-nucleotide non-coding RNA. NCBI's taxonomy places the organism in Eukaryota, Metazoa, Chordata, Mammalia, Rodentia, Sciuridae. The record is from RefSeq and is a predicted model, not a curated record.